UGGCUGAUGGUGUAAUGGUAACACAGGACAUUUUGGUUGUCUCGUUCAAGGUUCGAGUCCUUGUCGGCCAACAA
Molecule: transfer RNA, 74 nt
Filed under: Dyadobacter psychrotolerans
Lineage: Bacteria; Pseudomonadati; Bacteroidota; Cytophagia; Cytophagales; Spirosomataceae
Description: Dyadobacter sp. AR-3-6 tRNA-Gln
Rfam family: tRNA
About the family: Transfer RNA (tRNA) molecules are approximately 80 nucleotides in length.
Source: RNAcentral